This is a non-coding RNA of Callorhinchus milii (elephant shark), 74 nucleotides long. NCBI's taxonomy places the organism in Eukaryota, Metazoa, Chordata, Chondrichthyes, Chimaeriformes, Callorhinchidae. The record is from the annotation of a RefSeq genome assembly.
AGUCCUGUAGCUCAGUGGUUAGAGCACUCGCCCUCCAAGCGAGAGGGCUUGGGUUCAAUUCCCGGGCAGGGCGA